CCACCCGCGUUCCCAUGUUCUCUCUCUUUCUCUCUCUCCCCCAUUAGCGACAUCCAGUUCCGUCGUUCCGCUAUUUACGCGGAGGAAAGUUUUCGGUUGCUACCUGGAUUUCUUCCGGCAUCCGUCGCGGCAGAAUUUGCAAGAAUUUGUCGAGAGCGUGGCGCACUUUGCGGGUUCGCGAGAACGAGGGACUCUCUGACAAACGCAGGAGUCGAGAAGUACAUUUGAUACCAGACAGAAUGCUUAUGGAAUGUACUGCACCAGGAAAUUUAAUUCAAUACAUAUCUCAAAAUGUCGAUCGUGCGUUCUUUAUCGAGAGAGCGAGAGAUAAACUAACCGGCGCUCUUCAGCACGUAUCAAGGCCAAGGUGACCUCCGAUCAAAGAGUAUUCGCGAAUUAUGACGCUACGCAACGAGAACAACAUGGAGUCUGUCGGUCCCACGCGACGGCGAUGCGCGCACUUCCGGUACGCUACGGCGCGAGAAGCGCGGAAACGCGAUGGCGGAGAAUCACACCGCGAAUCCUGCUCGGGGCCCGGCCACCCUGCGCGAUCCUUCGCGCGAAACUUUGGGCACCUGGUCCAUCCGGCGGCGGCAACGAACGGCGAACGAAUACGCGUUAUUAUGUAGGUCAUGUUUACGCCGAGCGAGGAGAGCAAGAUGGCGGGAGCGCGGAUGCGAGAGAAAGUCACGGAUACGGAGGGUCAGUGCAGGAGACUGCGUUACACUGCAGUCCGGCGCUCACCGGACCUUCACUUAUAUCGUCGCUCGGCUAAUAACGCUAGUAAUGUGAUAUGAUUAGCUUAGUUGAGUUCAGUUUAGUUCGUAUUCGUUCAAUUUAGUGGUUCGCCAGCAAAAUCACAUCGAGUUAAACCCAUUUAGGCCAGUUAAGUUACCGACUUCUCCUCGUUCUCUUGCGGCGGCGGCGACCGCCGCCGCCGCCACUGCCGCCGCUGCCGCGCGACCUCCUGGGGCCUGAUCCUCCUCGAUGCACGGAAAUAUCCAGAAAUGUCCUGACACAUCCCGCAUGAGAUCUGGUCUUGUGCUCUGCCGUGAAAUUGGAAAUUAAGCCGCCGCAGGAGGUCUCGCUAUUGAAACACCUUGUUCACUAAGCCGGGAGUGCAAUUGGUCUUGAAAACCUAGAAGUGUGAUCUAAUAUAAGAAACAAGAUAUCUAAAGCCCUUUUAAAGUAUGAUUUAGAAGAAGAUGUAUACGGAAAGAACAGUUGCUGAAGAAAAAUUGCUAAUUAUUUUUUAUUAUAUUUCCCAUUUGGCAGUAAUUUUUAUGCAAAUGAGCGUUGGAAAUUGUAGCUUGAUAUUUCAGGUAUUACUAUAAUGUUUAGCCUUUCACCGAUAACGAAUUAAUUUAUUAUAAACUUUUUCUUGUAAUAUGCUGCAAGAAAAAAUGAGUUAGACAAUCGGUUGCCUAAAUCGUACCUCACCUUGGAAAAUAUCAAUUUUAUGAACUAAAGUAAUUAAAAAUAUAAGGAUUAAUUUUUAAAAAUACAAGGAAUCAUUAACUGAUAUUUACUAAUAAUUUAUCGAAAAAAAGAUCAAUUAGGAUUUAAUAACACGGAAAUAAGAAAAAAAAGGUUAUUUGGAACGUAAAAUAUUUUACAAUAGAUCUUUUUCUAUGAAAAUAUAAAAAUUCAUUAUAAAAUUGCACGAAUACAUUAUUAUCAGUUACAUAAACUGAUCGAAAGUUAAGUUGUAUUUAGUUGUAUUUGAUUUAAUGUUAUUAGCAUGUACAAAAAGAUGUAACCUGUUAAAUUUUUAUUUGUAUUACUCAUUAAUCAUUUAUUUCAUAUUUUUGUAAGUAUUGCUUAAUAUUAAAUAAAAAUACAAUAUAUUAUGAGGUACAA
Solenopsis invicta (red fire ant) is the source of this 1860-nucleotide long non-coding RNA. RefSeq lists it as uncharacterized. The transcript is spliced from 3 exons. Lineage: Eukaryota; Metazoa; Arthropoda; Insecta; Hymenoptera; Formicidae. The record is from RefSeq and is a predicted model, not a curated record.